AAGCGCUGUGAGGCGUUGAGCUAACCAAUACUAAUUGCCCGUGAGGCUUGACCAU
RNAcentral lists this ribosomal RNA (55 nucleotides) under Pseudomonas putida. RNAcentral describes it as "23S rRNA. Bacterial LSU". RNAcentral also lists the same sequence under 2 other names. The record is from RNAcentral. Lineage: Bacteria; Pseudomonadati; Pseudomonadota; Gammaproteobacteria; Pseudomonadales; Pseudomonadaceae.